Long non-coding RNA from Vespa velutina, 1427 nucleotides. RefSeq lists it as uncharacterized. The record is from RefSeq and is a predicted model, not a curated record. NCBI's taxonomy places the organism in Eukaryota, Metazoa, Arthropoda, Insecta, Hymenoptera, Vespidae. The transcript is spliced from 2 exons.
GCCAUGAUCGUGGUCGAAAGAGGCCUGUAUAUAGCAAGAGCGUAACUCGCUAGAGGUUUCCCCCACCAUACCAGGCAACGCCUAGCCUAACCUCGUCUAAUUACGCAACAAUCAACCUGCCCUAGCUCGCCACGACAAAUUCUCCGUCUCUCUCUCUCUCUCUCUCUCUCUCUCUCUCUCUCUCUCUCUCUCUUUGUAUCUCUUUGUCUAUCCCUCUCCCACUCUCACUCUGUAUCCUCUACAUCUUUUUUUCGAUGUUGAUGAUGAUGAUGAUGAUGAUGAUCCUCUGAGAACAACGAUAAAGAUAUUGGGUCCUAAGCGAAUAGAAAAAUGAAAUGAGUAUAUUUUUCAAAGAAAAUCAUUACAUUCCACCGAUAUAAUGAUCGAUCGAUCCAUCGAUGUCUUUUAGAUAGAGAAAGAAAAACAUACAGAUAAACAAAUAGACAGACAGAGAGAGAGAGAGAGAGAAAGAGAGAGAGAGAGAGAGAGAGGCAGACAGACAGACAGACAGAGAGAAUAUAUUUCCGAGACGUUAAUUAUUACGGUGAUUGGAGAUAAUUAAAGAUCAUCGAGUAUCAAUCUAUAUAAUAGGAUAAUCAUAGGACAAAAAAACAAAGAGGAUGAAAAACAACGAUAGCGAGAGAGAGAGAGAAAGAAGAAGAUCGUUGUGACGGAACCUUCUUCCUCUCCGUUAGAAGUCGUUCUAUGAAAAAGCUUCGUUCGUUACCGUCGUUCAUUAUCGCGUUGUUGUUGUCGCACAGAGCCUUUGUCAUCGUUAUCAUUGCGCAACGAAGACCGCCGAGGACGUGCUCGCGAGUAAUCGCGCAACGUUGUUACCGUACGCCCGAGCGAAUUUGCUCGAACGUACGGAUUACGAGAGUUUACCUGCUCCGAAGUUUAUUCGAAAAUUUAUGCAAAAGGCACAGAGACAUAUUAAACACGAAUGAUAAGAUUCGUUGAUUAUAAUGAUUUAGGUCAAUGAUUAUCGUGGCUUAUGGCCUUGUCGGAAUAUUUUGUUUGUAGGUUGUAAAAUAAGAGGAAAAGAAAAAGAAAAAAGAAAAGGAAAAAAGAUGAAAAAAAAAAAAAAAAAAAAAGGAAGACCUACUUAUCUGGCCGCCUAAUCUUAUCUACUACGUCGAGAACUAACUCUCGAAUGCCCGUUUAAAGAUAGGAAUUAGGCAUUAUCGCGAAGCAAGUAACUACACAACAACUCGCGGGAAAGAAAGAAGAUCAUCGUCGUUUUUAAAUCCGACGUCCUUCUUUUCGUAUACAAUGAAGAUGAUGACGAUGACUAUGACGACAGUAGUCAGAAAAGAUGUGGUAGUAGGUUAGAGACACGGCACUAAAAGAAAGAUGCCAAAGGCAUCUUUCUUUCUCUCUCUCUCUCUCUCUCUCUCUCUCUCUCUCUCUCUCUCUCUCCUCUCUCU